UUUUUGGUCAAGCUACUAAGGGCUGCUGGUGGAUGCCUUGGCAUCAAAAGGCGAUGAAGGACGCGAAACCUGCGAUAAUCUUCGGUGAGCUGGAAAAAAGCGUUGACCCGGAGGUUUCCGAAUGGGGAAACCCAGUGGGGAUAGUUACCCACUAUUGCAAUCUGAAUUCAUAGGGUUGCAAGGCAAUACCCGCCGAACUGACACAUCUAAGUAGGCGGAGGAGAAGAAAUCAAAUCGAGAUUCCCAAAGUAGCGGCGAGCGAACUGGGAAGAGCCCAAACCGAAGUCUUUGGCUUCGGGGUUGUAGGGCUGGCUAAAGGAUUAUGAAGGCUUAGUCAAACAUUUUGGAAAAUUUGACGACACAGGGUGAUAGUCCCGUAGACGAAAAGCUAACAUAACAGGGCCAGUUCCUGAGUAGGGCCGGACACGUGAAACCCGGUCUGAAUCUGGGGGGACCACCCUCCAAGGCUAAAUACUCAUUGAUGACCGAUAGUGAACCAGUACCGUGAGGGAAAGGUGAAAAGAACCCCUGUUAGGGGAGUGAAAUAGAACCUGAAACCAGCAGCUUACAAACGGUCGGAGGCCUAUGACCUUUUUAAGGUAAUGGCUGACGGCGUGCCUUUUGCAUGAUGAGCCAGCGAGUUGCGCUAUAUGGCAAGGUUAAGGGAUUUACAUUCCGAAGCCGAAGCGAAAGCGAGUGUUAAAAGCGCGAAAUAAUGAGUCAUAUGGCGCAGACACGAAACCAAGUGAUCUAUCCAUGGCCAGGUUGAAGCACGAGUAACACCGUGUGGAGGACCGAACUAGUGAACGUUGAAAAGUUCUUGGAUGAGCUGUGGAUAGGGGUGAAAGGCCAAUCAAACUUGGAGAUAUCUUGUACUCUCCGAAAUAACUUUCGGGUUAGCCUCGAUCGUAACUCUAAAGGGGUAGAGCACUGAAUUCACGCGGGGGCCCACCGGCCUACCAAAGGAAAUCAAACUCCGAAUACUUUAGAGCAGAUCGGGAGAUAGACAGUGAGGGAUAAGCUUCAUUGUCAAAAGGGGAACAGCCCAGACCGUCGAUUAAGGCCCCUAAUUCUAUGCUAAGUGAGUAAGGAAGUGAAGUUUCAAAGACAGUUGGGAUGUUGGCUUAGAGGCAGCCAUCAUUUAAAGAGUGCGUAACAGCUCACCAAUCGAGAAACUUUGCGCCGAUAAUUACCGGGACUAAGCAUAGAGCCGAAAUCACGGGUUUGCCGUAAGGCAAGCGGUAGGAGAGCGUAGUAUGUGCGCUGAAGGUAUACUGUGAAGAGUACUGGAGCGCAUACUAGUGAUUAUGCAUGGCAUGAGUAACGAUAAAGGCGGUGAAAAUCCGCCUCGCCGAAAAUCCAAGGUUUCCAGGGUAAAGUUCGUCUUCCCUGGGUUAGCCGGUCCCUAAGCCGAGGCCGAAAGGCGUAGGCGAUGGAAAGCAGGUUAAAUAUUCCUGCGCCACCUAAGAUUUAUGGCAAUGGACUGACGAAGUGAAUGAAGUACGCGGACGAUCGGAAGUGUCCGUAGAGAUGUGAGGAAGGCUGAUAGGAAAACCCGUCAGCGGAAUUCCAGGCAUAGCUCAAGGGGAACCCACGGGGGAACCGAUGGUAUGGAAGGAGCUUCCAAGAAAUAAGUUCUAGCUGUCGAUGGUGACCGUACCAAAACCGACACAGGUGGAUGAGAUGAAUAUUCUCAGGCGCGCGAGUGAGCCCUUGUUAAGGAACUCGGCAAAUUAUCCUCGUAACUUCGGGAGAAGAGGAGCCAUUGAUGGUGAUUCCACUAGCUGGAUGAGCUGUCGGUGGCCGCAGAGAAAUGACCCAGGCGACUGUUUAACAAAAACACAGCACUAUGCAAAGACAUUAAGUCGAGGUAUAUGGUGUGAUGCCUGCCCAAUGCCAAAAGGUCAAAAGGAGGAGUUAGCAUUUCGGUGCGAAGCUCUGAAUUUAAGCCCUGGUGAAUGGCGGCCGUAACUAUAACGGUCCUAAGGUAGCGAAAUUCCUUGUCGGGUAAGUUCCGACCUGCACGAAUGGUAUAACGAUCUGGGUGCUGUCUCAACAAGGGGCUCGGUGAAAUUGUAGUAGCAGUGAAGAUGCUGUUUACCCGCAACUAGACGAAAAGACCCCGUGAACCUUUACUGUACUCUGAUAUUGGCUUCUGACUUGCCAUGUGUAGAAUAACCAGGAGACUGUGAAAUCGUGUCGUCAGGCACGGUGGAGUCAUCGUUGAAAUACUGGUCUUGGUAGGUUGGGAGUCUAACGAAAUUCCGUGAAACCGGAAUUCGGACAUUGUCAGACGGGCAGUUUUACUGGGGCGGUAUCCUCCUAAAGAGUAACGGAGGAGUCCAAAGCUUGCCUCAUCAUGGUUGGUAAUCAUGAGAAGAGCGUAAAGGUAUAAGGCAAGUUAACUGCGAGACCUACAAGUCGAGCAGAUACGAAAGUAGGGCUUAGUGAUCCGGCGGUUGAAAGUGGAAUCGCCGUCGCUCAACGGAUAAAAGGUACUCCGGGGAUAACAGGCUUAUCGCUACCAAGAGUUCAUAUCGACGUAGCGGUUUGGCACCUCGAUGUCGACUCAUCGCAUCCUGGGGCUGAAGAAGGUCCCAAGGGUUUGGCUGUUCGCCAAUUAAAGCGGUACGCGAGUUGGGUUCAAAACGUCGUGAGACAGUUUGGUUUCUAUCUGUUGUGGGCGUAGGAUACUUGAGAGGAGCUGCUUCUAGUACGAGAGGACCGAAGUGGACGAACCAAUGGUGAUCCGGUUGUUCUGCCAAGGGCAUUGCCGGGUAGCUACGUUCGGAAAGGAUAAGCGUUGAAAGCAUCUAAACGCCAAGCCUCCCUCAAGAUAAGGUAUCCCAAUGAGACACCAUGAAGACUACGUGGUUGAUAGGUUGGGUGUGUAAGCGCAGUAAUGCGUUGAGCUAACCAAUACUAAUUGUCCAAUGGCUUGACC
Molecule: ribosomal RNA, 2944 nt
Filed under: Candidatus Criblamydia sequanensis
Lineage: Bacteria; Pseudomonadati; Chlamydiota; Chlamydiia; Parachlamydiales; Candidatus Criblamydiaceae
Description: bacterial LSU rRNA
Rfam family: Bacterial large subunit ribosomal RNA
Source: RNAcentral